UACGGAGGGAGCUAGCGUUGUUCGGAAUUACUGGGCGUAAAGCGCACGUAGGCGGCUUUGUAAGUUAGAGGUGAAAGCCCGGGGCUCAACCCCGGAAUUGCCUUUAAGACUGCAUCGCUUGAAUCCAGGAGGGGUGAGUGGAAUUCCGAGUGUAGAGGUGAAAUUCGUAGAUAUUCGGAAGAACACCAGUGGCGAAGGCGGCUCACUGGACUGGUAUUGACGCUGAGGUGCGAAAGCGUGGGGAGCAAACAGG
Molecule: ribosomal RNA, 253 nt
Filed under: uncultured bacterium
Lineage: Bacteria
Description: partial 16S ribosomal RNA
Rfam family: Bacterial small subunit ribosomal RNA
Source: RNAcentral